This 402-nucleotide ribosomal RNA is filed under the name uncultured bacterium. RNAcentral describes it as "bacterial SSU rRNA". It matches the Rfam family "Bacterial small subunit ribosomal RNA", at positions 87 to 524 of the family's 1533-position model. The record is from RNAcentral.
CAAGGGCCGUGGCAGACGGUUGAGUAACACGUGGGAACAUACCCUUCGGUUCGGAACAACGCCGGGAAACUGGCGCUAAUACCGGAUACGCCCUUUGGGGGAAAGGCUUGUACGCCGAAGGAGUGGCCCGCGUUCGAUUAGCUUGAUGGCGGGGUAACGGCCCACCAUGGCGACGAUCGAUAGCUGGUCUGAGAGGAUGGCCAGCCACAUUGGGACUGAGACACGGCCCAAACUCCUACGGGAGGCAGCAGUGGGAAUAUUGGACAAUGGGCGCAAGCCUGAUCCAGCCAUGCCGCGUGAGUGAUGACGGCCUUAGGGUUGUAAAGCUCUUUCGCACGCGACGAUAAUGACGGUAGCGUGAGAAGAAGCCCCGGCUAACUUCGUGCCAGCAGCCGCGGUAAU